ACAGGUUCGGCAGGCAGAUGGCGAAAUAGAAGAGGAUAUUAUGGGAGGGAACGAGGUCCUGUAUAGACCCUGAAUUGAGCGCAGCGUGGGUUUUCAAAAAAUGUUGCUUGUGAAAUAGGAGCUGGGCAGUUGAAAGAGUUAGGAGUGGUUCACAGUUAAGGUAGCGUGUCGGAGCUGGUCUUCUAGUUAUGUGCUCUAGUCACCGCCUGUAGGUCUAGUGGUCUAGUCACCUGCUACUAGACGCACUGAUGUCGACUCAGAUAGCCGCUAAUACGGAACAACUACUUUUGUGCUUUCACACCUGCCCUUGUUUCCUUGGUGCUGAGAUGAGACGAUACUUCAGAUUCGGAACGAUGACCAUUCAGAUAUUCUUAAAAUAUCUUCCGUUCCCUGUCACCUGAGUACUUGAUCAGACGACCAACCACUGGCGUGACAGCAUGCUACUUCCUCGUUCUCAGAGUGACAGGUCAACAGGACAUGUGUUAUGGUGGUUUGGAAUCAUUCGAGAGAAACAUUUGUGCUUUUUGUGAUUGGAACUACCAAGCUGCCUGAGAUGCUUUUCUGGACAGAAUUGGCGUACUGCUGCCUUGCAAGAUAUCUACUUAUUUCUUCGUGGAGUCAGCUACAACCAAGACGCAGAAAAACAAACAUGGUCAUUUUUAUGUGGCUCCACACAUUAUUUCCUGAAUGAACCACCUCAUUUCAUCCUGUUUCUGAACUUUGGACUGAGUCAUCGUCUCCUGAAGACAAGGUGGUCAGCGAUUAGACAGCGCCCUCUGGAGCAGCAUGCAUGACCUACAAGCACUGACGAUGCAUGGCCAGUGAAGUGUGACAUGUCCGUCUCUGGACUUCCUGCCAAAGUUGGAUUACGAUUCAAGUACUUCGUGAGGUUGAAGGGCAUCCCUCUACUUGCUGAUGCUGUAUGACAAUCAAGCCUGAACAAAAAAUGAGGGGUACCUGUUGGAUAAUGGUUAAUGAAAUGAGGAAGCCAAAGCCACAAAAGGUGAUAUCUACCUUUUCUGCGACAAAUGUAAAGAUUUCCCUGCGAGAAGUGUUUCUUUUAUGCGAGGACAAUGACAAGACAUGCAUCUAUCAGGCACUAUAAACAACAAUUUUGUGUUACUUAUAUUGCUGUAUAUUUGAUACUGAGUGAAAUAUAUCUGUUAUGUAUAUUUCGUUAAGAAGGGGACAUUCCUUUAACAAGCUUUAGGGACCUGAACAAGUCACAACCUUAUCAAUCCCUGUCAAUAAGACAAUCUUUAGAAAAAAACUGUUAAGAAGUUGGAGUUAAAAUUUUCGAUACAUAAAUAAUUUUGUCAUUGUCUUCAAUAUCAUUUUGUACCCGUGGCCACUGAUAAGUAAGGGGAGGCCAUCUGUUAAAUAAUUGCUGUAAGCUUACACUGUGAGAAUCAGCUUCAUCAUUGAAAUAUUUGGUACAGAUUGUUUAACAUCUUGUUGAAGUUUAUGUAUUAAAGCAAGCUUUUAAAUGAGUUGUGGUACAGCAUGUGAGAAGAUAACUUUCAGUUUUAACAUGAUUUAUUUUUAUUUCAUGAUUAACUAUAAUCGUGUAUAUGGAUUAGCUCCCUUUUCAUAUAGUUAGUGAAAUACAUUAUAUUAACACAGUUCCCAAUUAAAAAUGUGAUAAUUUGAGCAUGAAUUUAAAGCUUUUGUUGUGAAUGGCUUGAGUUUCUUGGAGGUAUUACAAAAGGUAGAUUAGCUUAUGCAUCACAUCUUAAAGAUGGCGCAGCUUGAGAAUGGUUCAAUGUUGCAGCAGUAAGUCACCUUCAGUUCUUACUACACACAAAAUGUCAUUUACUCUAUCUCUCUCAUCUACAUAUACCCUUGAAUUUAAGCAAAGAAACUUGUAUAUAAAUGAAUAGUUGUUGUUCCUUAUUGACCGGAAGAAAGAUUAAUUUUUUUUUUAGCUUUUUUACAUUUUAAUGAUUACUAUUCAUGAAAUCUCAAGCAUGACUUAAGCCCACAGACAGUACUUUGCUACACUGUACGAUAAGGGGUUAAUUUGGUUUAUGGGUAGGUAUUAAAGAACAGUUUAAGACAAGAAUUAAACAAUUAAAAAUUAUGUUAGGUGAAGUAAAGAUCACGAGGUAAAGAGUUUAAAAAGAUAUUAGAAAUAUUAAAUUUUUUUUAAAAGAUUUACAUGAGAUCUGAAGGCAAGUACCAUUAUUGCAAGAAGGCAAUAGAUUAAUAACUACUGCAAGUGUUCUUUUGCAUAAAUAUGGACUAAAAAUUAAAGAAUAAAAAGUCGAUUUUUCUUCUGCAUGUCAUGGAUACAAGCAGUGUAAAUGCACAUGACAUGUUCAUAUGUGUUCUUUCAGAUAACAAAAAACAAACACCUGCCUGUUGGUCUCCUGAAUAUUUAGACCAAAGGAAAUAAAGUUUGGCAUUUU
Molecule: long non-coding RNA, 2408 nt
Filed under: Pomacea canaliculata
Lineage: Eukaryota; Metazoa; Mollusca; Gastropoda; Architaenioglossa; Ampullariidae
Description: uncharacterized LOC112559505, transcript variant X1
Source: RNAcentral